AUCGCUUCUCGGCCUUUUGGCUAAGAUCAAGUGUAGUAUCUGUUCUUAUCAGUUUAAUAUCUGAUACGUCCCCUACCCGGGGACUACAUAUUAAAUUGAUUUUUGGAUCACGAUAUAGCCUAUAUAUGUAAUGACUGUUUAAUAACAAUAGCAUGCAUAAGAGCCUUUGUGUAAAGGUCUUUCUUUACAUUUUUGAUGAGUAGACUGUAGCCUAA
This is a small nuclear RNA of Cyprinus carpio (common carp), 215 nucleotides long. Its record names the gene U2. It matches the Rfam family "U2 spliceosomal RNA". Rfam says of the family: U2 is a small nuclear RNA (snRNA) component of the spliceosome (involved in pre-mRNA splicing). The record is from Ensembl. Lineage: Eukaryota; Metazoa; Chordata; Actinopteri; Cypriniformes; Cyprinidae.